CAAUAGCGUAUACUAAAGUUGUUGCAGUUAAAAAGCUCGUAGUCGAAUAUAGGUUGUUUGGAUGCGCGAGCACUCUUGUUUAACUUGAGAUGCUUGCGCCCAUUAGCCGCCCUUGUGGGGCUCGAUGUUCUUGAUUAUCAAGAAUACUCAAUCGAUCCCACACAUUACUGUGAACAAAAUAGAGUGUUCAUGGCAGGCCAUUAGGGCUUGAAUACCGCAGCAUGGAAUAAUAGAAUAGGACUUCCGGUUCUAUUUUAUUGGUUUUUGGAGCCGAAGUAAUGAUUAAUAGGGAUAGUUGGGGGCACUCGUACUCCGUUGUCAGGGGUGAAAUUCUUGGAUUGACGGAAGACGAACAACUGCGAAAGCAUCUGCCAAGGAUGUUUUCAUUGA
RNAcentral lists this ribosomal RNA (390 nucleotides) under uncultured eukaryote. RNAcentral describes it as "partial 18S ribosomal RNA". It matches the Rfam family "Eukaryotic small subunit ribosomal RNA", at positions 592 to 976 of the family's 1831-position model. The record is from RNAcentral.